GACGAACGCUGGCGGCGUGCCUAACACAUGCAAGUCGAACGGGGUAACGACUUCGGUUGUUACUUAGUGGCGAACGGGUGAGUAACGCGUGAGAAACCUGCCUUUCAGUGGGGGACAACAGUUGGAAACGACUGCUAAUACCGCAUAACACUUUAGUACCGCAUGGUACAGAAGUCAAAGCUUUAUGUGCUGAGAGAUGGUCUCGCGUCUGAUUAGCUAGAUGGCGGGGUAACGGCCCACCAUGGCGACGAUCAGUAGCCGGUCUGAGAGGAUGAACGGCCACAUUGGGACUGAGAUACGGCCCAGACUCCUACGGGAGGCAGCAGUGGGGAAUAUUGGGCAAUGGGGGAAACCCUGACCCAGCAACGCCGCGUGAAGGAAGAAGGCCUUCGGGUUGUAAACUUCUUUUACCAGGGACGAAGAACGUGACGGUACCUGGAGAAAAAGCAACGGCUAACUACGUG
RNAcentral lists this ribosomal RNA (464 nucleotides) under uncultured bacterium. RNAcentral's name for it is "bacterial SSU rRNA". It matches the Rfam family "Bacterial small subunit ribosomal RNA", at positions 28 to 507 of the family's 1533-position model. The record is from RNAcentral.